ACACACACACACAGUGUUUUCCAAACAUUUUUUUUGGAAAUGUUCAACUCUCACCCCCUAAAUGUGUUAGGAUAUCAAUAAAAACACACUGUGCAACAUGUUAAUUGUUCCUUGUUAGAGAGGUUAGAGGAAUAUCUAGAGGAAUAUCUAGAGGUAGCUCAAG
Alosa alosa (allis shad) is the source of this 163-nucleotide long non-coding RNA. RefSeq lists it as uncharacterized. Lineage: Eukaryota; Metazoa; Chordata; Actinopteri; Clupeiformes; Clupeidae. The record is from RefSeq and is a predicted model, not a curated record. The transcript has 3 exons.